Non-coding RNA from Pelobates cultripes (western spadefoot toad), 1242 nucleotides. The record is from the annotation of a GenBank genome assembly. NCBI's taxonomy places the organism in Eukaryota, Metazoa, Chordata, Amphibia, Anura, Pelobatidae.
GUGGACUCUGUAAGAGAGUGCGAUUUAGGUUUGUGAAAUAACCAUUAACCUUCGGCACUCCAGAUGUUUUUGACUACACCUCCCAUUUUUUAAUCCUACUUCCCAUCUCUACUCUUUCUUUUAUAUUUUACCUGUCUCUUUCAACUAUAUCUUUUACCUAUCUCCAAUCUUCUGAUCUUUCUUUCACCCCUACCUUCCACUAGCUUAUAUUCUAUUUUUAAUCAACAAUUUAAAUAUACAUAAUCCAAGAAAGGAUUAUUACGCAAAUAUCUCUAAAUCUCUAGAUAAUAGUCCGUAUAUUGAUUCUUUUCUGUUGGUAUCUUCUGUUAGCGCUUCCCAGUUUAGGUUUUUACUUUGUAUGUAGGCUAUAGUUCUUUUAAGAUAACUAUAAAGCAACAGUUCCGUUUAUAACUCUUAUACUAUUUUUUCAGUAUACUGUCAGUCAGGUCAGGAAUAAAGUUUCAAAAAGUGAACUGCAGUAUUUUAAGGUAGCCAAUAUAGCAGUAAUACAGACUCUAUUCUUGAGAUAAAUCGAUAAAGUAAAAUUGUACUAGUCUAGUAGAAACGCUGUGAACAGGAGAUAUUGUAGUCUUGUAGAUACUUUUCUAUACGUGCCAAUUCCUUUGUGAAUGCUUCUGCGUAAUUCCUUAUCAUAGGAGAGGCUCAGAGCGUGGAUAUUACUAUACGCUUAGAAUCUGAGCCAAGAUUUGCUAUCCUUCGAAGCUAUGUUGGACCCAGACUGGACGCUCACUCUGCUGUAUUGCGCCUUCGCUCACCUGCCAUGUGGGCCUUGGCGUGUUGUAGUCGUGUUGAAAAUUGCUUUGUCUCCCAGAUUUCUCCAUGUCUCGGGUCUCUCUUUUAAUUAGCUUGAUAUACCAGCAAGGAGUGUCAGCAAGAUAAUACGUCUGAUAUUUGGUCAGUUGUUUCCUCGGCUAGGCUAGUCCGUCCAACUUUCUCGGUCCUCUCCUCACUACAAACUGCAGUUCGCCAUUUCCACUCACUACCACAUCUAUUCAUAUCACCACACCUGCACUCGAUAUCACAUGGACACUCAGUGUUGUGCGUCCUACGUCAUCAUGCUCUAUAGGGAGCUGAAUGAUUCGAUUGUAAGAAAGGGUAUUAACCACCGCAUGGUAUAAUUAGAAAACUGGAUGAACAGUAAAACCCACGAAUGAGCUGCCAAAGUAAUGAACAGUAAACCCAUUAAUGAAUUACCAGCAGGAUUAUCAAUUUGUAAGUGAA